CAUUCUUCCAGUGACAUCAACCUCAUCGCCAUCAUAACUAGAUACGUAGGUAACCUCUCCAGAGAUGUGACAGAAGUCCUUAUCCUUCAGUUAUUCAGUCAGAUCGGACCCUGUAAAAGCUGUAAAAUGAUAACAGAGCAUACAAGCAAUGACCCAUAUUGCUUUGUGGAAUUUUAUGAACACAGAGAUGCAGCUGCUGCAUUAGCUGCUAUGAAUGGGAGAAAAAUUUUGGGAAAGGAGGUCAAAGUAAACUGGGCAACAACACCAAGUAGCCAGAAAAAAGACACUUCCAAUCACUUCCAUGUGUUUGUUGGGGAUUUGAGUCCAGAAAUUACAACAGAAGAUAUCAAGUCAGCAUUUGCCCCCUUUGGUAAAAUAUCGUAAGUAUCAUAAUUAGUAUCAGACUCAGUAGUGAUAGGCAAAACUGUAUUAACAUGUAUUAGGAUCAAGGUUUUCUUUCUCUAGUUAGUGUGUUUUUCUUUGGUCUUUACUUUUCUUCUUUUGAUUUGUUUUGUUUUUUGAGUAGAUGUUGUUGCAAAUGUUGAUGUCAUUUCAAUGUUUGGGGUCUUGUUUUCAGAUAACCUUGUGUAUGAUAUGUUUAAAAUUUUUAAGUGAUUCUGUUUGUUACAUUUAAAGCAAAUAUUUAGAUGGUAAAACUUCUAGCUCUCUGUCAAAUGUUUUCAAAUAAUGAUGAUUAGAGUAUUGGGUUAAUGAAAACUAAAUGUGAUCUUUAUUGUGUAUUAAACUUUAAUCGAAGGAGUUUUUAAGGGAGGGGGAAUCUAGACAAAUCCUUGUAUUUAUGGUUAAAUUGGAAAUGUCCAUGUUUAAAUAUAAUGAUAAGUGUAUUUUGAUAUUUAGCUUUGAGAAAAC
RNAcentral lists this long non-coding RNA (870 nucleotides) under Rattus norvegicus (Norway rat). RNAcentral's name for it is "long non-coding RNA NONRATT003248". The record is from RNAcentral. Lineage: Eukaryota; Metazoa; Chordata; Mammalia; Rodentia; Muridae.